This is a long non-coding RNA of Ctenopharyngodon idella (grass carp), 907 nucleotides long. RefSeq lists it as uncharacterized. Lineage: Eukaryota; Metazoa; Chordata; Actinopteri; Cypriniformes; Xenocyprididae. The record is from RefSeq and is a predicted model, not a curated record. The transcript has 3 exons.
CCCUCCCUAUUACAAAAGUACAUGCUCAUAGUCAUUACAAAUUAGAGUUAAAUUCAUUUAACAUCAUAAAUAUGUAAGCACUUCACAGUUUUACUUUUUUUUCCCUGUUGUUUUGAGUGACCGUUGGCAUUAUGUAUUGUCACUACAGAGAAUGCAGAUGCUACAUGCUUUUAAUCUUUUGAAAAGUUUUGUGUAUAUAUAUAUAUAUAUAUAUAUAUAUAUACAUAUAGCAAACAUAUAGCAAACAUAGACCUAGGCUACUCCUCUUCUCACACAGUAAACUUGUAGCAUUUGGCCUACAACUCCAACUCUAGAGACAUUUGCAUACUAGACAUGUAAAUCGUUUGCAUAAUUAAUAGGUUUAAAUGUCAGUAUCAAAUCAAUGUUAUCAACAUACAUCUAAUAGGCUAUAUACGAUCAGUGCAUUGAUUGAGAAUUUUGCUUCUAGACUGAAUCGUGCACCCAUUGUAUCCUUAAAUAAAACAGUUUAUACAUUAUUUUUGAUUUUGCAUUUUAUUGUGUUAUAAUUAUAUGCAAAUAUAUAGCCUAUCACUGAAGACACUCAAGGCACAGGUAGGAAUCCCGGCAUGACAACAUAAGCUCCUCUAAUAUGACGCACAGUAGACUAACGUUGCGCAGUUUCACCUCUCACGUGAUUAACUUUCGUCUGCCGGAUGUUCACGACGUUCCCCAAAACAAAGACAUACUUCUCUCAUCUAGAUAUCAGCCCCAGUUCCGAGCAUUUGCGCUGCCACGGGAAGAAAAUCGUCCAGGCUUUAGCCGACGGUGCGAGGAACAUAAGCACACUUGCUACUACGUUGGCACCACUAAGCAGGUUCCAUGCCUAUCAACUGCGAAUACAUCCUACAAACUUCAAGCUUUUCAAUCAUUGCAUCAUUGUGACGUU